CUGCCCGUAGCUCAGUUGGAUAGAGCAUCAGCCUUCUAAGCUGAGGGUCACAGGUUCGAUUCCUGUCGGGCAGGCCA
RNAcentral lists this transfer RNA (77 nucleotides) under Acinetobacter baumannii. Its description in RNAcentral is "tRNA-Arg". It matches the Rfam family "tRNA". From Rfam's summary of the family: Transfer RNA (tRNA) molecules are approximately 80 nucleotides in length. Their secondary structure includes four short double-helical elements and three loops (D, anti-codon, and T loops). RNAcentral also lists the same sequence under 11 other names. The record is from RNAcentral. Lineage: Bacteria; Pseudomonadati; Pseudomonadota; Gammaproteobacteria; Moraxellales; Moraxellaceae.